This 391-nucleotide transfer-messenger RNA is filed under the name Halieaceae. RNAcentral describes it as "Halioglobus sp009937575 Standard tmRNA". It matches the Rfam family "transfer-messenger RNA". From Rfam's summary of the family: Bacterial tmRNA, also known as 10Sa RNA or SsrA, is named for its dual tRNA and mRNA-like properties. Its role is to liberate the mRNA from a stalled ribosome. To accomplish this part of the tmRNA is used as a reading frame that ends in a translation stop signal. Lineage: Bacteria; Pseudomonadati; Pseudomonadota; Gammaproteobacteria; Cellvibrionales. The record is from RNAcentral. RNAcentral also lists the same sequence under 2 other names.
GGGGGCGAUUUGGAUUCGACGACGGAUACGAACCCUGAGGUGCAUGCCGUGAUGGCAGCCAAUCACGUAAAUCCAAAGCUGUGACUUAAUAGUUGCCAAUGACGACAACUACGGUGCGCAACUGGCUGCGUAAGCAGUCCGUUAAACACCUUCUAGUGGCUUCGGCCCUAGCGGUCCUUAGCAAGGUUCCAGCCCCGCGCUACUGACUGUCAUAUAGAACUGGAUCGCUGCAACGUACGUCCUGGACCGCGCGGCUAAACUUAAACAGGAAUCGCCAAUCACGUCCUGCCCGUUGGGCUGUGUGCGGUUAAACUAAUUAACGGAAUCUAAGCAUGUAGAGCCGAAGGCAGAGGUCUGGCGGACGCGGGUUCAACUCCCGCCGCCUCCACCA